RNAcentral lists this ribosomal RNA (468 nucleotides) under uncultured bacterium. RNAcentral's name for it is "partial 16S ribosomal RNA". It matches the Rfam family "Bacterial small subunit ribosomal RNA", at positions 28 to 507 of the family's 1533-position model. The record is from RNAcentral.
GACGAACGCUGGCGGCGUGCUUAACACAUGCAAGUCGAACGGAAAGGCCCUGCUUUUGUGGGGUGCUCGAGUGGCGAACGGGUGAGUAACACGUGAGUAACCUGCCCUUGACUUUGGGAUAACUUCAGGAAACUGGGGCUAAUACCGGAUAGGAGCUCCUGCUGCAUGGUGGGGGUUGGAAAGUUUCGGCGGCUGGGGAUGGACUCGCGGCUUAUCAGCUUGUUGGUGGGGUAGUGGCUUACCAAGGCUUUGACGGGUAGCCGGCCUGAGAGGGUGACCGGCCACAUUGGGACUGAGAUACGGCCCAGACUCCUACGGGAGGCAGCAGUGGGGAAUAUUGCACAAUGGGCGGAAGCCUGAUGCAGCAACGCCGCGUGCGGGAUGACGGCCUUCGGGUUGUAAACCGCUUUCGCCUGUGACGAAGCGUGAGUGACGGUAAUGGGUAAGGAAGCGCCGGCUAACUACGUG